Molecule: ribosomal RNA, 500 nt
Filed under: uncultured bacterium
Lineage: Bacteria
Description: bacterial SSU rRNA
Rfam family: Bacterial small subunit ribosomal RNA
Source: RNAcentral
ACGCUGGCGGCGUGCCUAAUACAUGCAAGUCGAACGCUUUUCUUUCACCGGAGCUUGCUCCAUCGAAAGAGAAAGAGUGGCGGACGGGUGAGUAACACGUGGGUAACCUGCCCAUCAGAGGGGGAUAACACUUGGAAACAGGUGCUAAUACCGCAUAAUUCCAGUGACCGCAUGGUCGCCGGAUAAAAGACGCUUCGGUGUCACUGGUGGAUGGACCCGCGCUGCAUUAGUUAGUUGGUGGGGUAACGGCUUACCAAGACCGUGAUGCAUAGCCGACCUGAGAGGGUGAUCGGCCACACUGGGACUGAGACACGGCCCAGACUCCUACGGGAGGCAGCAGUAGGGAAUCUUCGGCAAUGGACGGAAGUCUGACCGAGCAACGCCGCGUGAGUGAAGAAGGUUUUCGGAUCGUAAAACUCUGUUGUUAGAGAAGAACAAGUGAGAGAGUAACUGUUCUCACCUUGACGGUAUCUAACCAGAAAGCCACGGCUAACUACGUG